UGGCUUAAUUUGACUCAACGCGGGAAAUCUUACCGGGUCCGGACACACUGAGGAUUGACAGACAAAUAUAGAAAUUUAUUUCUUUUUUUAUAAUGAUGCUAGUUCUUUCAUGAUUAGAUAAUAGGUGGAGGGUGGCCCUUCUUACUUGGAGGGGUGAUCCGGCUGCUUUGCUGCUUUUCUUUUUUUAUUAAGUAUACGGACGACCCACGCCUCCUGCGGCGAGUCUAUGCUGCUAUCUUUUAAAAGCAAACAACGCGACCGCCUCCUUUUAUUUUAUACCCCCGCUUUUAUUUAUUCAUUAGAGGGACCGCUGCUUUUUUUUUUACACAAGAAGAAGGCUGCGGUAACAACACGUCGGUGAAGC
This 364-nucleotide ribosomal RNA is filed under the name Elphidium williamsoni. Its description in RNAcentral is "partial small subunit ribosomal RNA". It matches the Rfam family "Eukaryotic small subunit ribosomal RNA", at positions 1187 to 1470 of the family's 1831-position model. The record is from RNAcentral. Lineage: Eukaryota; Foraminifera; Rotaliida; Elphidiidae.